UGCAAGUCGAACGGUAACAGGGAGCUUGCUCCGCUGACGAGUGGCGAACGGGUGAGUAAUACAUCGGAACGUGUCCUGUAGUGGGGGAUAGCCCGGCGAAAGCCGGAUUAAUACCGCAUACGCUCUACGGAGGAAAGGGGGGGAUCUUCGGACCUCUCGCUAUAGGGGCGGCCGAUGGCAGAUUAGCUAGUUGGUGGGGUAAAGGCCUACCAAGGCGACGAUCUGUAGCUGGUCUGAGAGGACGACCAGCCACACUGGGACUGAGACACGGCCCAGACUCCUACGGGAGGCAGCAGUGGGGAAUUUUGGACAAUGGGCGCAAGCCUGAUCCAGCAAUGCCGCGUGUGUGAAGAAGGCCUUCGGGUUGUAAAGCACUUUUGUUCGGGAAGAAAAGGAGCGGGCUAAUAUCCUGCUCUGAUGACGGUACCGGAAGAAUAAGCACCGGCUAACUACGUGCCAGCAGCCGCGGUAAUACGUAGGGUGCAAGCGUUAAUCGGAAUUACUGGGCGUAAAGCGUGCGCAGGCGGUU
RNAcentral lists this ribosomal RNA (529 nucleotides) under Burkholderia sp. AB23T5. RNAcentral's name for it is "bacterial SSU rRNA". It matches the Rfam family "Bacterial small subunit ribosomal RNA", at positions 56 to 580 of the family's 1533-position model. The record is from RNAcentral. Lineage: Bacteria; Pseudomonadati; Pseudomonadota; Betaproteobacteria; Burkholderiales; Burkholderiaceae.